CGCCAGACUCCUACGGGAGGCAGCAGUGGGGAAUAUUGCACAAUGGGGGAAACCCUGAUGCAGCGACGCCGCGUGAGUGAAGAAGUAUUUCGGUAUGUAAAGCUCUAUCAGCAGGGAAGAAAAUGACGGUACCUGACUAAGAAGCCCCGGCUAACUACGUGCCAGCAGCCGCGGUAAUACGUAGGGGGCAAGCGUUAUCCGGAUUUACUGGGUGUAAAGGGAGCGUAGACGGCAUGGCAAGUCAGAUGUGAAAGCCCGGGGCUCAACCCCGGGACUGCAUUUGAAACUGUCAGGCUGGAGUGCAGGAGAGGUAAGUGGAAUUCCUAGUGUAGCGGUGAAAUGCGUAGAUAUUAGGAGGAACACCAGUGGCGAAGGCGGCUUACUGGACUGUAACUGACGUUGAGGCUCGAAAGCGUGGGGAGCAAACAGGAUUAGAUACCCCCGUAGG
This 448-nucleotide ribosomal RNA is filed under the name uncultured bacterium. Its description in RNAcentral is "bacterial SSU rRNA". It matches the Rfam family "Bacterial small subunit ribosomal RNA", at positions 329 to 794 of the family's 1533-position model. The record is from RNAcentral.